Molecule: ribosomal RNA, 269 nt
Filed under: unidentified marine bacterioplankton
Lineage: Bacteria
Also listed under: 1 other name
Description: partial 16S ribosomal RNA
Rfam family: Bacterial small subunit ribosomal RNA
Source: RNAcentral
UACAUGCAAGUCGAGCGGUAAGGCCCUUCGGGGUACACGAGCGGCGGACGGCUGAGUAGCGCGUAGGAACAUGCCCCAAAGUGAGGGAUAAGCACCGGAAACGGUGUCUAAUACCGCAUAUGGUCUUCGGAUUAAAGGAUUUAUCCGCUUUGGGAGUGGCCUGCGUACGAUUAGAUAGUUGGUGAGGUAAUGGCUCACCAAGUCUACGAUCGUUAACUGGUCUGAGAGGAUGAUCAGUCAGACUGGAACUGAGAUACGGUCCAGACUCC